This 392-nucleotide ribosomal RNA is filed under the name uncultured Glomus. Its description in RNAcentral is "SSU rRNA". It matches the Rfam family "Eukaryotic small subunit ribosomal RNA", at positions 569 to 965 of the family's 1831-position model. The record is from RNAcentral. Lineage: Eukaryota; Fungi; Glomeromycota; Glomeromycetes; Glomerales; Glomeraceae.
AGCAGCCGCGGUAAUUCCAGCUCCAAUAGCGUAUAUUAAAGUUGUUGCAGUUAAAAAGCUCGUAGUUGAAUUUCGGGAUCAGUAUGUUGGUCGUGCUUCGGUACGUACUGUCAUUACUGGUUUCUACCUUCUGAAGAACCUUGAUGUCAUUAAUUUGGUGUCUUGGGGAAUCAGGACUGUUACUUUGAAAAAAUUAGAGUGUUUAAAGCAAGCAUACGCUUGAAUACAUUAGCAUGGAAUAAUGAAAUAGGACGUUUGAUUCUAUUUUGUUGGUUUCUAGGAUCGACGUAAUGAUUAAUAGGGAUAGUUGGGGGCAUUAGUAUUCAAUUGUCAGAGGUGAAAUUCUUGGAUUUAUUGAAGACUAACUACUGACGAAAGCAUUUGCCAAGGAU